Molecule: long non-coding RNA, 1255 nt
Organism: Hippocampus zosterae (dwarf seahorse)
Lineage: Eukaryota; Metazoa; Chordata; Actinopteri; Syngnathiformes; Syngnathidae
Exons: 2
Source: RefSeq, a predicted model, not a curated record
UCUCGCAAUACUUUAUUUAUUUUUAAUGGUCGUUGACGUGCUUCCGGGUCAUCGUACGUGUAAUCGCAGACAACAGUUAUGGAGCGUGUUCAACCGUUCGUGAGUUUAAUAGAAUUUUACUAUGAAAUUGGCUUGAAAUACAAAGACAUUAAAUCUGUUCUUUAUGUUAAGUACGGUUUCCAAAUAAGUGAAAGACAUUUGAAGCGAGUGCUGAACCAAAGAGGACUAUUUCGUCGGAAAACGUUCAAUGACUUGGCAGUCCUGGUUGACUUCAUUCGCAACCAAUUGCAGCAUUCUGGAAAACUACACGGUUACAGGUGGAUGUACAGUAAGUGCAGAGAAUAUGGACUUCUUGUCAGGAAAGAGGACGUUCGUCUGGUCCUGAAAGAGUUGGAUCCGAGAGGAGUGUCGUUAAGGCAAGCAAGACGUCUGAGACGGCGAAACUACUUCUCCAAAGGGCCAAAUUUUAUAUGGCACAUGGACUCCUAUGACAAACUGAAACCAUUUGGAAUUUGUAUCAAUUGGGCUAUUGAUGGUUUUUCAAGGAAAAUAAUGUGGCUCAAUGCCUACAUAAGUAGUGUCCCGAAGUUGAUUGGAGGUUAGUACAUCGACGUUGUGCACCGUUUGGGGGGUUGUCCUCGAAUCAUUCGAGCUGAACUUGGGACUGAAAAUGGUCACGUUAAAGGCUUCCAGCGUUUCCUGGUGCCAAUACCGCCAGGCAGCACUCUUGACAGUUACUUGGAUGGAGCCAGCACCGCCAAUCAAAGAAUUGAAUAUUGGUGGCGGUUUCUUCGCAGCCAGUGCAUGGAGUUCUGGUUAUCCCUCUUCACAGACCUCAGAGACAAUGGCUUCUUUGAUGGUAGAUUUCUGGACAAAAACAUCCUACAAUUUUGUUGUAUGGGACUUAUUCAGGAUGAGUUGGAUGACACGGCCCUAGUUUGGAACAGCCAUCUCAUCAGGCCCUCAAAGAACAUGAAUGUCCCCAGUGGUCGGCCCAACGUGAUGUAUACGUUACCUGAACUUUAUGGUACAAAGGACUUCCUCUCCCCAGUUGACAAUGAACAAGUUCAACUGUGCAAAAGCCAGUGUGUCUUUCGUUUGACCAUGCCUUGUGAUCCAGAUGUAUUUUGCAUUGUGUGCUUUUUUAAUGGCCCAGUCCGAUCUAAUGCCACCAAAAGAUCCAUUUCAGGCUGUGAACUUGUAUUUACACCUCAGAGAGGCCCUCACCGCUACUCUUUAAGAUAAGAUAAGAAAA